AGCAUAGUGUUGUGGUUUCAAUGUUGGACUAGGAAUCCAGGAGACCAGGGUUCGAAUCCUUGCUUAGCUU
RNAcentral lists this transfer RNA (70 nucleotides) under Anolis carolinensis (green anole). It matches the Rfam family "tRNA". From Rfam's summary of the family: Transfer RNA (tRNA) molecules are approximately 80 nucleotides in length. Their secondary structure includes four short double-helical elements and three loops (D, anti-codon, and T loops). Lineage: Eukaryota; Metazoa; Chordata; Lepidosauria; Squamata; Anolidae. The record is from Rfam by way of RNAcentral.